UCAUGGCAACACUGAAAACCCUCUCUCGCCUACCGAACCUGGAGCUCAAGCUUUAGGUGACACUUCUCGUGAGUGACGUGGAUAUCUGUCAUCAGAUUGUCAUCGGGGUGAAAAAGCAUAGUCACUGCAACAGACUAACAGCGUGUUUGAUGUUCGUUCCGCAAAAUUAUAAUUCCAUGAAAUUCGUUCCUUAGAUGUACCUAUAAUUACCUUAUUGCUAAAUUUCUUCUACACUACGUUGAGAAUUCGUGAAUUGAUUAUAACAAAGUGAAUUUAUAAUACCGAAGAGCAGUUAAAUUUUGGGUUUAACGAUAAUAGCGCUUCAUUGAAUUGGCAGAACGGCUAAGCUAGCUGACGAUUGCGUAUCGGUAAUAAGCUAGAGCCAGAUUUCUCCCACGAGUAAAGCGCUAACGAAGGCCCUCUAAAAUUGAGAGGAACGGUCAAAGACCAUGUAAGCAAUAAUACUAAUUCCAAU
Long non-coding RNA from Aedes albopictus (Asian tiger mosquito), 475 nucleotides. RefSeq lists it as uncharacterized. Lineage: Eukaryota; Metazoa; Arthropoda; Insecta; Diptera; Culicidae. The transcript has 3 exons. The record is from RefSeq and is a predicted model, not a curated record.